AUGGGAUGAUUUGCUCUCUCUCUCUCUCUCUCUCUCUCUCUCUCUCUCUCUCUGUGUGUGUGUGCGUGAGAGAGAGAGAGAGAGAGAGAGAGAGAGAGAGAGAGAAAUACUCAAGAU
This 117-nucleotide microRNA precursor is filed under the name Marmota monax (woodchuck). Lineage: Eukaryota; Metazoa; Chordata; Mammalia; Rodentia; Sciuridae. The record is from RNAcentral.